RNAcentral lists this ribosomal RNA (320 nucleotides) under uncultured eukaryote. Its description in RNAcentral is "partial 18S ribosomal RNA". It matches the Rfam family "Eukaryotic small subunit ribosomal RNA", at positions 1470 to 1796 of the family's 1831-position model. The record is from RNAcentral.
CCCUUAGAUGUUCUGGGCCGCACGCGCGCUACACUGAACAGUUCAACAAGUCUUAACCUUGGCCGAUAGGUCUGGGUAAUCUUUGAACGCUGUUCGUGAUUGGGAUAGACCUUUGCAAUUAUGGGUCUUCAACGAGGAAUUCCUAGUAAACGCAAGUCAUCGGCUUGCAUUGAUUACGUCCCUGCCCUUUGUACACACCGCCCGUCGCACCUACCGAUUGAAUGGUCCGGUGAAAUCUCGGGACGGCGGCUUGGUCGCUUGCGUCCGACUGCUGAAACUUGAUUAAACCAUAUCAUUUAGAGGAAGGUGAAGUCGUAACA